CCUACGGGAGCAGCAGUAGGGAAUCUUCCACAAUGGACGGAAGUCUGAUGGAGCAAUGCCGCGUGAGCGAAGAAGGUUUUCGGAUCGUAAAGCUCUGUUGUGAGGGAAGAACAAGUACGGGAGUAACUGUCCGUACCUUGACGGUACCUCAUUAGAAAGCCACGGCUAACUACGUGCCAGCAGCCGCGGUAAUACGUAGGUGGCAAGCGUUGUCCGGAAUUAUUGGGCGUAAAGCGCGCGCAGGCGGCCUGUUAAGUCUGAUGUGAAAGCCCCCGGCUCAACCGGGGAAGGUCAUUGGAAACUGAUAGGCUUGAGUACAGAAGAGGAAAGCGGAAUUCCACGUGUAGCGGUGAAAUGCGUAGAGAUGUGGAGGAACACCAGUGGCGAAGGCGGCUUUCUGGUCUGUAACUGACGCUGAGGCGCGAAAGCGUGGGGAGCAAACAGGAUUAGAUACCCGAGUAGUC
This 464-nucleotide ribosomal RNA is filed under the name uncultured bacterium. Its description in RNAcentral is "bacterial SSU rRNA". It matches the Rfam family "Bacterial small subunit ribosomal RNA", at positions 338 to 795 of the family's 1533-position model. The record is from RNAcentral.